UAUCAUUCCUUAAGUCCCAUAGGUUUGAUCCUGUAGAAUUUGAUCCAUUUUCUCAUUGAACGAAAGGUACGAAAUAAAUCAGAUUGAUAAAAGUACCAUGUGAAAUCUUCGGUUUUUCCCCUUCCUCGAUCCAUAUCCCAUAGGUUAGGUACAGUGUUUGAAUCAAUAGAGAACCUUUUCUUCUGUAUGAAUCAAUAUUAUUCCAUUUCAAAUUCUUCCCGAUACCUCCCAAGGAAAAUCUUGAAUUUGGAUCCCCAAUCGACGGGUUAGUGUGAGCUUAUCCACGCGGUUAUGCACUCAUAAAGAACGAACAAGAGUAAAAACAAAGUUGAUUCAAAUAAAGAUUUCUCUGGUACCCUAUGUCAAUAAAAGUAAAAGAAAGAAAAUAAGGGCGAAAGAAAGAUACCAAAGCAAUGUUGUAUCAGGCUGCCUGUCUUUUUGUAGUUGAAUCUCCAAGUUUUUGGAAUGCUUCAAAUUUCACUUGAGCAU
Molecule: long non-coding RNA, 489 nt
Filed under: Nicotiana benthamiana
Lineage: Eukaryota; Viridiplantae; Streptophyta; Magnoliopsida; Solanales; Solanaceae
Description: long non-coding RNA (NBEN_LNC010482)
Source: RNAcentral